GACGAACGCUGGCGGCGUGCUUAACACAUGCAAGUCGAACGGAAAGACCCUGCUUUUGUGGGGUGCUCGAGUGGCGAACGGGUGAGUAACACGUGAGUAACCUGCCCUUGACUUUGGGAUUACUUCAGGAAACUGGGGCUAAUACCGGAUAGGAGCUCCUGCUGCAUGGUGGGGGUUGGAAAGUUUCGGCGGUUGGGGAUGGACUCGCGGCUUAUCAGCUUGUUGGUGGGGUAGUGGCUUACCAAGGCUUUGACGGGUAGCCGGCCUGAGAGGGUGACCGGCCACAUUGGGACUGAGAUACGGCCCAGACUCCUACGGGAGGCAGCAGUGGGGAAUAUUGCACAAUGGGCGGAAGCCUGAUGCAGCAACGCCGCGUGCGGGAUGACGGCCUUCGGGUUGUAAACCGCUUUCGCCUGUGACGAAGCGUGAGUGACAGUAAUGGGUAAAGAAGCACCGGCUAACUACGUG
This 468-nucleotide ribosomal RNA is filed under the name uncultured bacterium. RNAcentral describes it as "partial 16S ribosomal RNA". It matches the Rfam family "Bacterial small subunit ribosomal RNA", at positions 28 to 507 of the family's 1533-position model. The record is from RNAcentral.